This 75-nucleotide transfer RNA is filed under the name Ostreobium quekettii. RNAcentral's name for it is "tRNA-Arg". It matches the Rfam family "tRNA". Rfam says of the family: Transfer RNA (tRNA) molecules are approximately 80 nucleotides in length. Their secondary structure includes four short double-helical elements and three loops (D, anti-codon, and T loops). Further hydrogen bonds mediate the characteristic L-shaped molecular structure. tRNAs have two regions of fundamental functional importance: the anti-codon, which is responsible for specific mRNA codon recognition, and the 3' end, to which the tRNAs corresponding amino acid is attached (by aminoacyl-tRNA synthetases). tRNAs cope with the degeneracy of the genetic code in two manners: having more than one tRNA (with a specific anti-codon) for a particular amino acid; and 'wobble' base-pairing, i.e. permitting non-standard base-pairing at the 3rd anti-codon position. The record is from RNAcentral. Lineage: Eukaryota; Viridiplantae; Chlorophyta; Ulvophyceae; Bryopsidales; Ostreobiaceae.
AGGCUUGUAGCUCAGUGGUUUUAGAGCCCAUGUUUCCUAAACAUAAGGUCGAAGGUUCAAAUCCUUUCAAGCCUA